Molecule: ribosomal RNA, 493 nt
Filed under: uncultured bacterium
Lineage: Bacteria
Description: partial 16S ribosomal RNA
Rfam family: Bacterial small subunit ribosomal RNA
Source: RNAcentral
AUUGAACGCUGGCGGCAUGCCUUACACAUGCAAGUCGAACGGUAACAGGUUAAGCUGACGAGUGGCGAACGGGUGAGUAGUGUAUCGGAACGUGCCCAGUCGUGGGGGAUAACUGCUCGAAAGAGCAGCUAAUACCGCAUACGACCUGAGGGUGAAAGCGGGGGAUCGCAAGACCUCGCGCGAUUGGAGCGGCCGAUAUCAGAUUAGGUAGUUGGUGGGGUAAAGGCCUACCAAGCCGACGAUCUGUAGCUGGUCUGAGAGGACGACCAGCCACACUGGGACUGAGACACGGCCCAGACUCCUACGGGAGGCAGCAGUGGGGAACUUUGGACAAUGGACGCAAGUCUGAUCCAGCCAUGCCGCGUGCGGGAAGAAGGCCUUCGGGUUGUAAACCGCUUUUGUCAGGGAAGAAACGCUCUGGGUUAAUACCUCGGGGUAAUGACGGUACCUGAAGAAUAAGCACCGGCUAACUACGUGCCAGCCGCCGCCGUAA